Carassius gibelio (silver crucian carp) is the source of this 112-nucleotide small nuclear RNA. RefSeq annotates it as U5 spliceosomal RNA. The record is from RefSeq and is a predicted model, not a curated record. The transcript has a single exon. NCBI's taxonomy places the organism in Eukaryota, Metazoa, Chordata, Actinopteri, Cypriniformes, Cyprinidae.
AACUCAUGUUUGACCUCAGAUCGUAUAAGUUUUUCGCCUUUAAUUAAAUAUUUCUGUGGGAAGGAGUGCAGUGAGUAAUAUCAAAUUUUUUAUUGUUGUUGUUGUUCUGCAU